UCCUACGGGGGGCAGCAGUGGGGAAUAUUGCACAAUGGGGGGAACCCUGAUGCAGCGACGCCGCGUGGGUGAAGGAGCACCUCGGUGCGUAAAGCCCUAUCGGCAGGGAAGAAACAGACGGUACCUGACUAAGAAGCCCCGGCUAACUACGUGCCAGCAGCCGCGGUAAUACGUAGGGGGCAAGCGUUAUCCGGAUUCACUGGGUGUAAAGGGAGCGUAGACGGCGACGCAAGUCUGGAGUGAAAGCCCGGGGCCCAACCCCGGGACUGCUCUGGAAACUGCGGCGCUGGAGUACGGGAGGGGCG
Molecule: ribosomal RNA, 305 nt
Filed under: uncultured bacterium
Lineage: Bacteria
Description: bacterial SSU rRNA
Rfam family: Bacterial small subunit ribosomal RNA
Source: RNAcentral